RNAcentral lists this ribosomal RNA (513 nucleotides) under uncultured bacterium. RNAcentral describes it as "bacterial SSU rRNA". It matches the Rfam family "Bacterial small subunit ribosomal RNA", at positions 28 to 533 of the family's 1533-position model. The record is from RNAcentral.
GAUGAACGCUAGCGGGAGGCUUAACACAUGCAAGUCGAGGGGCAGCAUAGGGUAGCAAUACUCUGAUGGCGACCGGCAAACGGGUGAGUAACGCGUAUGCAACCUACCCUGUACAGGGGGAUAACCCGGAGAAAUUCGGACUAAUAUCCCGUAAUAAUAUCCGGAGGCAUCUUUGGAUAUUUAAAGUUCCGACGGUACGGGAUGGGCAUGCGUAACAUUAGCUGGUUGGUAAGGUAACGGCUUACCAAGGCUAUGAUGUUUAGGGGUCCUGAGAGGGUGGUCCCCCACACUGGUACUGAGACACGGACCAGACUCCUACGGGAGGCAGCAGUGAGGAAUAUUGGUCAAUGGGCGCAAGCCUGAACCAGCCAUCCCGCGUGCAGGAAGACGGCCCUAUGGGUUGUAAACUGCUUUUCCAGGGAGAGAAACUUACGCACGUGUUGCGUGACUGACGGUACCCUGGGAAUAAGCAUCGGCUAACUCCGUGCCAGCAGCCCGGUAAACACGAGAGUA